CCUACGGGCGGCAGCAGUGGGGAAUAUUGCACAAUGGGGGAAACCCUGAUGCAGCGACGCCGCGUGAGUGAGGAAGUAUUUCGGUAUGUAAAGCUCUAUCAGCAGGGAAGAAAAUGACGGUACCUGACUAAGAAGCCCCGGCUAACUACGUGCCAGCAGCCGCGGUAAUACGUAGGGGGCAAGCGUUAUCCGGAUUUACUGGGUGUAAAGGGAGCGUAGACGGCAGCACAAGUCUGGAGUGAAAUGCCGGGGCUUAACCCCGGAACUGCUUUGGAAACUGUGCAGCUAGAGUGCAGGAGAGGUAAGUGGAAUUCCUAGUGUAGCGGUGAAAUGCGUAGAUAUUAGGAGGAACACCAGUGGCGAAGGCGGCUUACUGGACUGUAACUGACGUUGAGGCUCGAAAGCGUGGGGAGCAAACAGGAUUAGAUACCCCAGUAGUC
This 440-nucleotide ribosomal RNA is filed under the name uncultured bacterium. Its description in RNAcentral is "partial 16S ribosomal RNA". It matches the Rfam family "Bacterial small subunit ribosomal RNA", at positions 338 to 795 of the family's 1533-position model. The record is from RNAcentral.